This is a long non-coding RNA of Oncorhynchus tshawytscha (Chinook salmon), 1212 nucleotides long. Lineage: Eukaryota; Metazoa; Chordata; Actinopteri; Salmoniformes; Salmonidae. The record is from Ensembl.
GAAGCCCUCUACUGCACUGCCAUCAACACAGAGGGACAAGGCCAAUUCAGCCCCCUGAAGCUCAACGUAGAGUAUCCCCCUGAGAUCAAAGUGGGCUCUGCCUGCACUUCAGACAUCUCCAUGGUAACCUGUCUGUGCAUUGUGAAUUUGGAGCCCCCCGGCACCGUGGAGUGGUCUCUUCCAGCCGAACCCCUGCCCACCCUGCCCAGUACCAGACUUGAAAGGCAUGGGUCAGUUACCAUGGUGACCCUACAGAGGGCACUAGGCUUCUCAGAGACGAUCCACUGCCAUGCCAGCAAACACCCAGGGCAAUGCCACCUUGUCCUUCACUGUGCCCACAAAUGAUAAGAUGUCGAUGCUGUACGUUUCAAUUGGUAUUGCUGCAUUAGUGGUGGUAGUAAUACUAGUUCCCAUGUCAGCUUGCCGAUUGAACAAGAAGGGUGGGAGGAGUCAUAGUGACCUGCCAGUAGCCAGUAUACAGGACAUGGAUGCAGCCAAGUGUGCUUCCUCAGAUCCCUCAACAUCAAGGAAAGAGCAGAAAGACACCAGCAGUGAAAUCCUCACAAACUACUACACCAACGAUCACCUAUAUGGCAACAUGGAGGCUAAAGAGCAUGGCGACCCAUGCGAGUGUGAUGGUGGAGAUGAUUCAGUCUAUGGUAACGUGUGAACACAACAGGAAGCAUGUUGAAGUCAGCUGGUUCAGAGCCAAUGGUACUCAGUCUGUCAAAGGUUCCAGUGAAAUAUUAAAAUUUAACCCAAUGUAGCAUAACAGGUGACUGCUUAUAUUUGUUAGCUUGAUGUAGCUCUAUGGUUCUUAUGGCAUAAGAAUAUAGUACAUUCUUAUUUGGGCUGUGGCGUUUAUGUUACGGCUUUUACAAGGCGUUUGUUUAUUAUCUGUGGCUUGGGUGAGUUUUUACUUCAUGUUAAAUAUGCACAAUAAAAUAACCAGUAUUUAACAAUAGCUUGUUUCACCCUUCCCCAGCUGUCUGUUGAAAUUGUGUCUUGAGGGUUAUCUGAGGAUAGAAUACGAGUGUGGGACUUUCAGUUUCUCUGCUUGGGGUUGCUCUUUCAUUUAUGGAGAUUUUCAAAGUCUGUUUAUUUCCAUAUGGUUUGAACUAUUUCACAAUACCGAUUUUGUCAAAAUACUGUAGCUUUAGGUUUCUUGACCCUCUCUAUAAGAACAUACCAGUAACAGGCAUACAAAUCAAA